RNAcentral lists this ribosomal RNA (465 nucleotides) under uncultured bacterium. RNAcentral's name for it is "partial 16S ribosomal RNA". It matches the Rfam family "Bacterial small subunit ribosomal RNA", at positions 28 to 507 of the family's 1533-position model. The record is from RNAcentral.
GACGAACGCUGGCGGCGUGCUUAACACAUGCAAGUCGAACGGAAAGGCCCUGCUUGCAGGGUACUCGAGUGGCGAACGGGUGAGUAACACGUGGGUGAUCUGCCCUGCACUUCGGGAUAAGCCUGGGAAACUGGGUCUAAUACCGGAUAGGAGCCAUUUUUAGUGUGAUGGUUGGAAAGUUUUUUCGGUGUAGGAUGAGCUCGCGGCCUAUCAGCUUGUUGGUGGGGUAAUGGCCUACCAAGGCGGCGACGGGUAGCCGGCCUGAGAGAGUGGACGGCCACAUUGGGACUGAGAUACGGCCCAGACUCCUACGGGAGGCAGCAGUGGGGAAUAUUGCACAAUGGGCGCAAGCCUGAUGCAGCGACGCCGCGUGGGGGAUGACGGCCUUCGGGUUGUAAACUCCUUUCGCUAGGGACGAAGCUUUUUGUGACGGUACCUAGAUAAGAAGCACCGGCUAACUACGUG